CAUUAGAAGACGAGUGUGAUUCUUUGUGAAGUUUGAAGCCCAAAGACUGAUCCAGUGAGAACUGGCUCCAUGGACCCUCUGAUUAUUCAUCUGUGAAUCAUGACUACAAGUCCUAUCUUGAAUGUGGAAGGUGCUGUGUGAGAUGCUCCAGUUCCAAGCCCACAUAUUAUCUCUGUGCAGUAGCUCUGGGGUAACCAGACUGUUGACCUUCCUGUGGCUACAUCUUCUUUUGCCAGCUCUUUCUUACACCUUCACAAAGACAAGUCCCUUACACAAUUACAGUUUUAACUUCUCCAGUGCUCCAUGCUGUUUAUGAACAAUCCACCACACUAGAUGACCUGACCUCAAGACUUCCACUGUGCAGGGGAGGAUCUGAUGCCCAACAUGUGAACAAAGGAACAGCUGUAAAGCCAUGGCUUGGAAGCACCACCCGUGAGGAAAAUAGACCCAGAGAGAAGACACGGCUUGGGUCUUCUUGUGCCACAUUCAUGCUCUUUGAGCCUAAAGCUAGACAAGGAAAGCAAGGCAAAUCUCCCAAGACCACUCAGCCAGCGCCUGGCGGAGGGCGGAUGGGCACGUGGGUACUCUGGUGGUGGAGGCGAAUCUUCAGGGUAUUGAGCUUCACCACCUCGCAGAACACACUCAAGACUCAUUCUAGGGCGUGCUGUUUGUCCGACGUCUGGAAGCUUCAAGGAAAAGGCUCUGCCAAUUUUCAUCAGAUUUUGAAAGUGGAUCAUCACCCCCCCAAACGAGAGGAGGGAUCUCUG
Long non-coding RNA from Lemur catta (Ring-tailed lemur), 767 nucleotides. RefSeq lists it as uncharacterized. The transcript has 5 exons. NCBI's taxonomy places the organism in Eukaryota, Metazoa, Chordata, Mammalia, Primates, Lemuridae. The record is from RefSeq and is a predicted model, not a curated record.